AGUAUUGCUGGGAUCUUUUUGACCAAAUCUGAGAUAAAAAAAAAGUUAUUGAAUUCACUUCCAAAAUCGUGGGAUAUGAACAUGGCUAUCAUCAAGAAGACAAAAGAUCUCAAUCAUCUUAGUAUUGCUGAUGUUAUUCAAGAACUUGAUGCUUUGAAGUGUAGAGAAACAAUGAGUUUUGAAAACAUUCCGGUCACUGAAGUUAUGUGUACUCCAACUUGUGAAGCCACGAUUAAAUUUCUUCGGGAACAAAUUGAGUUAUUUAAAAGAGAAGUUGAGGACCUGAGAUAUGAAUGAUAUCAACUAAGGAAAGGACAGAAACCCCUGAAGGCUGAUUUAGAAGCAAAAACCAAGGACUUUAGGAAACUUCAGGAAGAGUAUAGCAACAAAUGUGAAAAUUAUGAUUAUUGUUGGGAUUAAAACCCUAAUUGUGAUUUGAUGAACAAGAUGCGGAAAAUAAGAACAAACACAAUAAUGAAGAUUAUGUCGAAUGAUCACUCGAUUUAUUGAAAUGUGAGGAACAAAUUACACUUAAGAAAUAAUAAUCUAACUCUACAAGAAACCUCACGUGGCGGCUACAUUUUGCCACACUCUUAACCCUAAUAAUGAAUAAUACAUGACUAUUUAUAGGGAAAAGACAAGUCUUGGGCUUUUAACCUAGAAUUCAUCAAUGGGGCCCAUUGCCAUCAUCCAUGGAGUGCUUUGAAACCCUACAAUCUCCCCCUCAAAGUAUGGAAUGGAUGACAAUGCUUUAACUUCCAAAACAAGCAUCUAGCAAAUAAAAAGAUCUGCAACGAGGAAUAUAUGAAGCAAUCCACGAAUCUUGAUUCUUCAAUAGUCUUCAAACACGGGCUCUAGGAUAUAUAAAUCAAGCACUGAAGUAAUGUCUUUAAACUUCAUUUUCGAAUGUAAUCCCAAAGAAUCUUCAUGAAAACCAAACCCGCCAUAAAAACCCAUUUCAGAACAAAGAAACCGAAUCACUUCUUGUCUUUGAAGAGCUCCCCUUCCAAGUCACAAUGAUCUUCAAAUAAGCUAAUGAUAUAAGCCAUCAAAAAAUAUCAUGUAACAACCCAAACUUUAAGAUUUGUAAUGCCACUUGAUCGAGAAAAUACUAGAAGUCGGAGAUAUAACGAGUUCUUAGCAGAGCUCGAUAAAGAACUUCCGCUGUAAAGGAUACUUCUCUGUAAAAGCUUUAGCAGAGCUCGAUGAAGAACUUCCACUGUAAAAGCUACCUUCAUAAUUCUACCACAAGCUUUAUCAAAAAUCCUCAACUUUGAAAAGUCACAAAUCCAAUUUCGAAUGACCAUACCAAAUUCUCCCCCGAUUUAUAAUCAAAAACAUGAUUAUAAAGCCUUCAAAUGGUCAUGAGAAUGAUCUUGAAUGGAUAAAAAAAAAUUACUAAGCUCCCCCGCGACAAAACGAUAUACACAAUGAAGUAUAAAAUCCGAAAAAGUCGUGAAAAAUUUGAUGAUAUCACGAAAAACGACCUUCCGAACCGCCAAGACUUGAUGGAAUCAUUAUUUUGCUGUUCACCAAAAAAAUAUGAGCGUUAAAGAAUCCAAAACUGUUCACCGGCCCUCAAUGUAGUAAUUUUUCUGAAAAUUGGGCCGAAACUGUCACUUUCUGAAAGACAGGGGCUGGAAUGGUAAUUCAGCAUCAACAAACCCUUUUAUAUGUAACAAAAUCUGCAAAUGGUCCAAAACUGCCAAGGCAUGAAAAGUAUAGGGACCGGAAUUGACAAAUCGUAGGUGUUGCAGGGACAAAAAAGAAACUUUAAGUCAUCUUCCCCAAUUUAAAGAACACGACUGGAAGGUGAUUUCAAGCGAACGGGAAUUUGAGCCACUAUCGUUUCAACCACAAGCAACCGAACCAAGGUUCGUUUCAAGAUCGCCAUGUAAUCACGCGAACCGAACGUUCGGUUCGUUUCAAAUCAAGCAUUAUCAGGCGAAACUACUUUCGCUUUCGGUUCAUCCUUCGAUCGCUCCAACCAUUAACAACCGAACCCAGUUUCAAAAGCAAAACCGAGCAUCCCGAUUAGAAUAAGGAGCGAAACCUUAGCCAAGCCGAAUUACAGGUUCGCUUUCGGUUCAUCUCCUAUUACAGUCCCAGCAUAAACACACGAACACAAGAUCGAGGUUCGUUCCAUGAGCUGCUAACGCGAAUCUCCCCCCCUUUCGUUCCAAGUGCUAACAAAUGACCCCAAGUUUAUUUCACGUUCGUUUUGAGCAUAAGCCUUCAUACCGAGCCCUGAGUUCUGAACACCAAGAACCUCACCCAAAGCGAACCAAUUUCAAACACGAACCCAAUCACAGGUUCACUUCCGAAUCAAACGAUCUUGGGAGAAGAACGAGCGCGAACACAGAAUCACAAUCACCGAACCCUUAAUCUUUCUCUCAUGUUCACCCGAUUGAGUUACGAUUCAGAUCUCAUACAUUCUCAGGUAACGCCUUUUCUAACCAGUUUAGACUUGACAAAGCGAACUCAAUUUCAUUUGAACCAAUGUAUUAAGUCCCAAAGGUAAGACCCAUUUGGCGAUUAAGAACCUGAUUCCAAUUUGAUUCCAGAUCAACAACCCACAGUUCUUCGUUUGUAUGAGUCGAUUUUGACUUUUGAGGUUUGACUCACAAGAACAUCUGCUCAAUCCAAUCAAGAUUUUACCAACAGGGAAUCGGUUUCUAGUUCCGAAUGCUUCCAAAAGAAAUACCGAAUUCGCUACACAUCUUUUAUGCAUUCCAAUUUUGACCUAUUCUGAUUUCACUUUUCACAUCCGUUCGUCACCUGUACAUCACAGGACUUCAAAAUUUCUACUCAAGAACCAUAUAAUCGCUGCUUCCAAAAAUCGAGAUAAAUCACAACAAUAUCAUCAAACAAUAUCCAAGUUCAAAAUGAGUUAAUCAAACCGAUCUUAAGAGUGUGAAUGAGAAAAUCGAUGAAAGGUUUGAUCUUGAAUUAAACCACACACAAAUCGAUUCAUCAGAAUUGAUGAAGACAUAUCAAUAAUCCUUAGUCGACAGCGAUACAAGCAACGAUUGUUAAUCUUGAUUGAUCUUUGAGAGAAUGAAUAAAUGGGUGAAUUGAGCACGUAAAGUAAAUGACGCAAACGGAAAUCGAAUGUGAUAUUACAGAAAAAGAGUUGGAUCAUGAACAGUGAAUCGGCCAAAGGAUUGGGCCAGAUCAAGAUAAGACACGAAUGGAUUCAAAUGGGUCAAAACAAAUGAUUAAAAUCGACUGAUAUUUGGAUUAAGCUAAUCACCAGAUCUAAGAUGAACAGAAGAACGAAUAAAAAAAAUUAGAUGAACAGUGAUGAACAGCAUGAAUUUCCAUGAGCAGUAGCUUGAACAAAAUAUUGAUUCCAUACCGCCAAAACACCAAUAAUCUUCAAUAUAUGUAGAAAAUCACCAAAUCAAGAACCGAUACUUCAAAAAUCAAUAGAUUUUCAAAGACCCGCUCUGAUACCACUUGUUGGGAUUAAAACCCUAAUUGUGAUUUGAUGAACAAGAUGCGGAAAAUAAGAACAAACACAAUAAUGAAGAUUAUGUCGAAUGAUCACUCGAUUUAUUGAAAUGUGAGGAACAAAUUACACUUAAAAAAUAAUAAUCUAACUCUACAAGAAACCUCACGUGGCGGCUACAUUUUGCCACACUCUCUUAACCCUAAUAAUGAAUAAUACAUGACUAUUUAUAGGGAAAAGACAAGUCUUGGGCUUUUAACCUAGAAUUCAUCAAUGGGGCCCAUUGCCAUCAUCCAUGGAGUGCUUUGAAACCCUACAAUUAUGUUAAGAGACAACUUGUUGCUGUAACUGAAGAACUUGACGCUUUAAUAAUCAAGUGUGGAAAAACUGAUGUCAGUUUCAAAAAUU
This 3859-nucleotide long non-coding RNA is filed under the name Lactuca sativa (garden lettuce). RNAcentral describes it as "long non-coding RNA (LSAT_LNC005557)". Lineage: Eukaryota; Viridiplantae; Streptophyta; Magnoliopsida; Asterales; Asteraceae. The record is from RNAcentral.